GUUUGUGCUGCGCAGAUUGUCGCACAACUACGCAAAUACGAGAGGGUUUAUUGCCGAUUUAGGUCUUGAAACCAGGUUUCCCGGAAACAAAGUGCGCGUUUCUGCUAAAGGGGACACAGAGAGCGGGCAUCAGUACCAAGUGUGUUACUGAGAUGGAGUAGAGCUGGACCAAAAAGCCUCUGGAAAAGGAAGAGCCAAAGAUAAUUAUGCUCAGAUAAAGAGAUGGAUGAAAAUAUUUGAAAACUCUGUGCUGUACCGUAUGUGGUGAAAAUCCAAGUAAUUCCUCAGCCCUUAUGCAGAACAAACUAUUCUGUUCCAUGAUUCUAAGAUGGAAUUUUUUUCCUAAGCAGUACACGGAGCUACUUUCCCGGCCAGGGUGGUUGGAAGGGAAGUUUCGCCUGGGAAGUAACAAGGGUCAAUGAUGAGUGACGCUCACACCUUGUCGGGAGUCCUAAAUGGGGUGUGCUAUCACCCAUUUAGAAUCCAUCACCACAUCUAAUCUCACCCAUCAAACGGUCCAUUAAUCUCCAGUCCAGCCCCACAGAUAAUGGCACGGUAUUCAGGAUGAAAGGGCCGAUGGGGGCGAGACGGGGAUGCGAAGGUGGCAGAAACAACAAGCGACGUUACUGUCAGAAUCCAAUCGGGAGCUGGAGCCCAUGUUCAGAACUGUGAGGUUGGAGCUCCCUCUGCUGUCAGACACCGGAACAACCGGCAAACCGCUCGCACGCAACAAAAUUACUUUUCUUAUUACAAAUCGAGAUACAGUAUGUGGUUAAGAAGCUGUUCCUAAAAUACAGCACUGACCAAUCUGCUUUGAGAUUCUCCGCAAAUAUGGAUGAAAAUAAUGUUAUGGAGUCAUUGAAAACCCGGUGUG
Long non-coding RNA from Mobula hypostoma (lesser devil ray), 874 nucleotides. RefSeq lists it as uncharacterized. The record is from RefSeq and is a predicted model, not a curated record. The transcript is spliced from 4 exons. NCBI's taxonomy places the organism in Eukaryota, Metazoa, Chordata, Chondrichthyes, Myliobatiformes, Myliobatidae.